GACGGAGUCGCGGGAGCAACUGCGACAGGAAGGCGACUGGGGUCGGGCGGCCGAAGAUUCUGGAACAUUCUUGCCUCCUAAGGUUUUUGAAAUCCCGCGUGUAGUUCACAAUUACAGUGGAUCUCAGCUGGGGCACUGAAAUAGCCACAAGUGUCUUGCAGCGACCAUACCGGAAAGCAGAGCUCUAAAAACUGCUGUGAAGAAAACCGUCAGGGAGAUACUGAUGAUCAGCAUGAUCAAAGACGUUCAGAACAAACUAAGACGUUGUCCUUCAUGGGAUGUGAAGGCCCCAGAGAUACUGAAAAGGACCCCACGUGACAUUUAGUCGUCAGGUCUCCUGAGCCCCUCUUGGCUGUGACCGUUUCUCAGACGUUCUUUGUUGUUGAAGACCUUGACAGUGUUAAGGACUAGUCAGGUAUUUUGCAGCGGAUCCCUCCGCUGGGACUGUCUGAUGUAUUUCUCAUGAUUCCAACUAGGGUUACGGUGUUUGGAGGAAGGUGACCACGGGGGGAAAGUGCCACGGUUAUCCCACUGUAUCAAGAGGACACACCGCUGAGGGUAACCAGGGGCACCUGGGAGAGGCAGUGUGGGCGAGUUUCUCUGCUGUGAGGUUCUCCUCUCCUUGUCUCUUCCCACAUUGUACUCUUUGGGGGGAAGGGGGUUCAUGAGGCUUAUUUGUUUAUUUGUUUAUUUAUUUAUUUUUUAAAAAACCUUUUUUAAUGAAGAUACUGGGGAUUGAACCCAGGACCUCGUGCCUGCUCAGCACGUGCUCCACCACUGAGCUCUACCCACCCCCCCUAAAUUGUACUCUGGGAAGAUGUCACCAGGCACAGCCUGCUCUUAAAAAGUAGAGUUAUGCCCGCCACCUUGGGGGUGGAGUAUCUACAUAAAUUACUAGGAAUUUUUCUGUACAGGAAAUUUUUCUCCUUAACAAAAAUUUUUUUCCAGUGUAUGUCUCAUGCAACAUGUGAGACAUACUUAUGCUUAAAACUUGCAUAUUUUUUUAAUCUGAAAUUCAAAUUUAACUAGAUACCCCCCCUUUUUUUUUUCUGAAAACCCAACCCCAGACCCAUAUAUCUAUCUGCAGUUUUGACAUCUCUACUUGGGUGUCUAACAGGCACCUCAAAAUAACAAAUCCAAAUCUAAGCCACUGAAAUCCACCUCCCCCACCCAACCAGCAGUUGCUGCACUGCUGCUCAAGGCCUAGAACCUGGGAGCCGUCUUUGAUUCCUUCUCCCACAUCUGAUAACCAGUCCAUUGGGAAGUCAGGUCCAAUCCUCCCCCGAAAAUACAUCUAAAAAUUCAGCAACUCCUCACCAAGCCCAGUGUCCCUGCCCUGGUCCGUGCCACCAACAGCUCUUGCCUGAGUGGCUGCAGGAACCCACCACCCCCUCAAACCUACUUUCCCAACCUCCAUCCUGGCCCCCUGAGUCUAUCUCCAACACGGCAAAAUCGGCUAGUUACCCUGAAUGUGAGUUAGAGGCUGUCCUUCCUGUUUAAGGUCCUCCUGUGCUUCCAUCUUGCUCAGAGCAAAAGCCAAAGGUGCUGGCUGACACCUUACAGGCUUCUUCGCUCUCUGUCCGCAGUUCUGCUCCCUUGACGCUGACCUCUCUCCUCUCCCUUCAGGCCACUCCGGCCACACCGACCUCCAGCAGGCCGGCCGUGGCCCCCCUGUACUGCUGCUGCUCCUCUACCAGGAACACAGUCUGGCUGGCUUCUCUGUGUCUCCAAGGCCCCCUCCCCUACGCAGAGACGCCUUUCCUGGAUACCUGAAAUUUCUCCCCUCUGCAUUUUGGGUUUUUUUCCCCCCGUUUUGUAUUAAUUUCUCCUGAGGAGGCGAAAAGCAAGCCCUGACAUGCGGGAGCUUGGUGUUCUGUGAAACAGCAGCCAACACGAGUGUUUUCCAGGAACAUCAGCCUCAGAAAAGGCCACUCAGCCACCUCGGUGGAUCAAGGCACAGACAGAAGUGACC
This is a non-coding RNA of Vicugna pacos (alpaca), 1972 nucleotides long. The record is from RefSeq and is a predicted model, not a curated record. NCBI's taxonomy places the organism in Eukaryota, Metazoa, Chordata, Mammalia, Artiodactyla, Camelidae.